AUAUAUAUUCAAUUUUUUGGCUAAAAUCAAAGUGCAGUAUCUGUUCUUAUCAGCUCAAUAUCUGGUACGAUCCCCACGUGUGAUUUACGAUAUUAAACUGAUUUUCGGAUUAUGGCGAAGUGCUAAGGGCUUGUUCCACCUUUGCCGCGGAUCGGCCCGGUAUUGCAGUAACCCAAGGAUUGGUAAACCGAGC
Molecule: small nuclear RNA, 193 nt
Filed under: Penaeus chinensis
Lineage: Eukaryota; Metazoa; Arthropoda; Malacostraca; Decapoda; Penaeidae
Description: U2 spliceosomal RNA
Rfam family: U2 spliceosomal RNA
About the family: U2 is a small nuclear RNA (snRNA) component of the spliceosome (involved in pre-mRNA splicing).
Source: RNAcentral